Molecule: long non-coding RNA, 654 nt
Organism: Penaeus monodon (black tiger shrimp)
Lineage: Eukaryota; Metazoa; Arthropoda; Malacostraca; Decapoda; Penaeidae
Exons: 3
Source: RefSeq, a predicted model, not a curated record
UUUUGACGUCCAUCCCGCGGGUCAGUCACGCUGGGAUGGAAAUUGUUCCUGUGAGACCUUGGCUUCUUGUGUCUGGGCUGGAAUAGGGUUGUAGGUGGAAGUACUAUUGGACAGAUUGCUUGUAUUGUUGAAAUUAGGUAUAUUCGUGGAUUAAUUACGCGGUUAAAGUGUUUCGAAGUAGUGAUGAUUUGACUGCAGUGUAGUGUGACGAUAAAACUCGGUAGGUGGAAAAAUAAAGAAAUUUAACUGAUGGUGUAUUAAAGACAAAAAACAACAACCACGAAUCGUGUGUAGAAAUGAAAUUGUUGUGCAAAGAUUAUAAUGUUAAUGAAGAAGAAAAGUAAGAAAACACUUAUUAUCUGCGUUUGUACUGAAGGAAAUGUCACCAAGAUCAAGAGGUUAAAAAUAGGGUAAUUUGAAUGAAAGGGAAGACAGUACACUUAAUUACUUGCUUUACUUUUGAUAUUUGUAAUACCAACACUUUAUGAGUUUGUGACUCCCUCUUGAUUAAUAGCAAAUUAAAGUGUAAGCCAGUGUACUUACAUUGAAAUUGAUACUUCAGUUUAAAAAGUACGUCUGUCAGUACUUACGCAUCUUCUCGUCUCGUGUCAUCUAGCUACUGACGGAAACCAAACAAGUGAGGUUAAAGUGACU